UACGUAGGGUGCAAGCGUUAAUCGGAAUUACUGGGCGUAAAGCGUGCGCAGGCGGCUUUGCAAGACAGAUGUGAAAUCCCCGGGCUUAACCUGGGAACUGCAUUUGUGACUGCAUGGCUGGAGUGCGGCAGAGGGGAUGGAAUUCCGGCGUGUAGCAGUGAAAUGCGUAGAUAUGCGGAGGAACACCGAUGGCGAAGGCAAUCCCCUGGGCCUGCACUGACGCUCAUGCACGAAAGCGUGGGGAGCAAACAGG
RNAcentral lists this ribosomal RNA (253 nucleotides) under uncultured bacterium. Its description in RNAcentral is "partial 16S ribosomal RNA". It matches the Rfam family "Bacterial small subunit ribosomal RNA", at positions 524 to 776 of the family's 1533-position model. The record is from RNAcentral.